UCAUCAUUUUGAUAAGUAAUUUUUAUCAUUCAUGCCAAGUAAUAUUAACUACCCUUCUGUAUUGACUGCACGACCCGACACAAUUAAGUCAAGUUUACUUGAGUAACACGAAAUUCGAAACCCUCUUCCUGCUCAGCCAGCGACGUCAGAGGACAAUUAGCGCUCCUUUCACACAAUAGGUGAGACCCUGAGCAGAGCAGCAGCACCUGGAUGCUUUUAUACCUCAUUUGAUGAGACAGUUCGUGGAUGUGAAGCCACUGGGAACAAAGAGGAGUUGAGAAGGAUCACAUCGAUUCCUCUCCAGCAAACCAUUUGGUCAACGUUGGACACUGGUUUUUCGGACAAAGGACAGGGUGGCUUGCACGAAAAAAAGUUCUAUGCUGGACUCACUCAGGCAGCAACAUAUCAAAGGUAGAAGAGACAUCAUCAUCCGCUGCUUAAUGGAGUAACUUGGAGAGUCUGGAGAGGAACUCAUCAAGGACUACCAGCAAGGAAGCCAAAGAGGACUUCUCUCAUCAUGACUUUAAAAUCUGAAGGAAAUGCAGCCCAGGAAGGCCACAACCCCUGACCAUGUCGGUCAUCGUCAAGGGAAAACAGGUUCUGGAUGACUGUUGCAAAUGUUUACCUUUUGCUCAAAGGCCUAAGAACCGAAUUUGUUGGGAAUUAACUUACUGCAUUUCUAUUCUGUAUUUCUUACUAAGCUAUUGCACUUUACAGUGAUACUUCAUUGAAAAUGUAAUCUCUGCAGAUGUACACAUUUGUCUGUUUAGUCAGACUGUCUGAGGGAUUUUCUGAAAGCUCUUGAAAUUGUUAAAAAGUUUUGGCCACACUGUUGAGCAUGAGGCCACUUUGUGUUGCUAAAAGAUUGUAUUUUGUAGGCUAGCUGAAAUAUACAUACUUAAAGGCCUUAAAGGGUUAGUUUGGAUUAUUUUAUGUGUGAUUGUAUGAGGUCCUUAUCAAUAGUCAGUGUAUUCGCUACAUGGAGAAACAGCAUGAAAGCUAAGCAAUGAUGUGCCAUGGACGGGGUAAGCAAAAAAGGUAUUUUAGCAAGUUAAAAGACCAACUAAACGCCUUCGGAGAAAUCACAUAUUUUUGUUUGUGUUAUUGUGUGACUUUGGGAAUCUGAACUGUCCCUAAAACACUGAAGUCACACAAUAACACAAACAAACUAAGGAUCUAGGCUGGCACCUUUUUUAAAUGUCUAAAAUGCGUUUGUUGCUGACCCCACCCAGAGCAGUUCAUUACUUGGCUUCUGUGCUGGUGCCCGUCUCUGCUUCUUCUAACUGGGGAUGUGCUGACCGCCAUAUACUGUAGCUAAUACACUGACUACAGAAAAGUACCUCAUACAGCCACACAUGUAAUAAUCCUAUCAAACUGUUUAAGAGGUCAAAUGCAUCAGAAAGGUCACAUGUCCUAUUUGAAAAUGUUUUAGUCUGACUAAGUGUUUCAAAUGAAAGUCUGCGGUACUGCUGCUAGCACUGAUUUAGAUAUGUUUUAAUGCCCACCAGAUUGUAUGUGUAAAAAGCAACCUCUUACAUCAUUG
Hippoglossus stenolepis (Pacific halibut) is the source of this 1543-nucleotide long non-coding RNA. RefSeq lists it as uncharacterized. The transcript is spliced from 4 exons. Lineage: Eukaryota; Metazoa; Chordata; Actinopteri; Pleuronectiformes; Pleuronectidae. The record is from RefSeq and is a predicted model, not a curated record.